Molecule: transfer RNA, 99 nt
Filed under: Kitasatospora phosalacinea
Lineage: Bacteria; Bacillati; Actinomycetota; Actinomycetes; Kitasatosporales; Streptomycetaceae
Description: tRNA-Ala
Source: RNAcentral
AGGGGGCGGAGCGGCUGCGGCAGGCGCUCGGGCUCUGGCAGGGCCCGGCGUACGGCGAGUUCGCCGACCGGCCCUGGGCCGCCCCCGAGGCCGCCCGCC